RNAcentral lists this long non-coding RNA (983 nucleotides) under Equus caballus (horse). Its description in RNAcentral is "lncRNA (ENSECAG00000060302.1)". The record is from RNAcentral. Lineage: Eukaryota; Metazoa; Chordata; Mammalia; Perissodactyla; Equidae.
CUCAAACCUUAGCUCCUGUGCCUACAUGCUGCCUGAUUCACUAGGUGCCCCAUGUGGGGGAAGCCGUCAGACCUUUGCCUUCUCACAGGAAUCACAAGAUUUGAGAUUCUGGGUUCUGCCAGCACCCUCAAUUCACGGGUCCUGCACUCCCCUCAGUGUGGAGCAGGGCGGCCCUCCUACUUGAUCCAAAGCCCACUCACACUUCAACUGGUGCAGAGGUCCGCCAACCUCAUCAGAAGAAGGGAGGAUGCAUCCAUAUCUAGAGGAGGCAGGAGGGAUCACAUCGACUUUACUGUGGACAGUAGCUCCUGAGAAGUCUAGUGUGACUGUGUGACUCCCAACUAGAAUGGAGCCCUGGAGGGCAGGGCUGUGUCUGCUCUGUGCACUGGACUAUGCGCUGUCCUGGAGUGUGGACAUGAGAAGACCACCAGAUUAUCAGCCACCCAUCAGCUUGCUCCUGCCAAGAGUAAGUCCUCCCCCAACACUGAAGAUGAGGAGAUGGGGGCUAAGAGGGUUCACAGAGGUGGCCUGGCCUGGUUUGGCCUGGCCCUAGACCACCUUGUGUUACUUCAGGGGACCUCCCAGCAAAGGGCCAGAGGCGUCAGAGAGGAGGGUUGAGCCAACGUCUGCAGCGUCUGAAAAGUCUCUCACUCGGGGUUUCCUGAAGCCAGAACCUCAGUAAGUCAGGUUACAGCAGGAGAACAUCUUUCACUAUCGAGUGUCUCUGGCCAAGUGAGCUGGAAAAAGCUUGCUCACCUCUGACCUAGAGAAAGAAGUCCAAACUCCUAUAUUUUCAGUGAGAUUCAGCACAACCCUGGCCACACAGAAGUUCCUGGUGACAAAUAGAAAUGGCAAGCAAUAGGAUAUAUUGGAGUCUAUGAGGAAGCCAUUUGGUGUAAACCUAAUUCGGCCUGACUUUGUUUUCCCAAAAGGGCGUGACUGUGGCCAUUGAGCACGCAUUGCAUAUCUGCUUUAAACAUUUC